RNAcentral lists this ribosomal RNA (324 nucleotides) under uncultured eukaryote. Its description in RNAcentral is "partial 18S ribosomal RNA". It matches the Rfam family "Eukaryotic small subunit ribosomal RNA", at positions 1470 to 1796 of the family's 1831-position model. The record is from RNAcentral.
CCCUUAGAUGCUCUGGGCCGCACGCGUGCUACACUGGUCGAUGCAACGAGUUUCUUUCCUUGGCCGACAGGCCUGGGCAAUCUUUGAACAUCGAUCGUGAUCGGGAUAGAUUCUUGUAAUUUUUGAUCUUAAACGAGGAAUUCCUAGUAAACGCAAGUCAUCAGCUUGCAUUGAUUACGUCCCUGCCCUUUGUACACACCGCCCGUCGCACCUACCGAUUGAAUGGUCCGGUGAAAUCUCCGGACUGGCGUGAGUCGGAGCAAUCUGACAAACACCGGAAAGUUGAUUAAACCUUACCAUUUAGAGGAAGGUGAAGUCGUAACA